Molecule: long non-coding RNA, 1081 nt
Filed under: Panax ginseng (ginseng)
Lineage: Eukaryota; Viridiplantae; Streptophyta; Magnoliopsida; Apiales; Araliaceae
Description: long non-coding RNA (PGIN_LNC017712)
Source: RNAcentral
UUCUCUCCGCCGACCUCCGUAAGCAUCCACGGGAACAAUGCAUUUAACACAAGAAUGUGCUCAGUCAUUCCAUCAUUUUUUGUGAGUCAAAUCUUUUUCAUUGACCAUAGAUUUGAGCUUUUCAACAUAGUAUCCUACCUUCUUUCAUCUUCAAAAAGGUUACAUUUUUAGUGAUCUUUUUACUCUCUCAAUCUUGGGUUCUCCUUUUUUCUUCUUUAAUCUCGUACCCAUCUAAUGAUUAUACUAAAAAAAUUUCUCCAAGUGGCUUUUUAUUAUAUAUCUGUACGCAAUAUGCAUGUAUUUGUUUAUUUUUUUUCGAUAUCUUUGUAUAUAUGUAAUUAUUUUUGAACCAUGAAACUAUUGCUGCCUGUUAAUCCAUCGCCUAACAGGCUAACACAAUCACUUUUCAAGGUCUGAAAGUGAUGGUAUAUACUCGAGUGCUCAUCUUUUGUGCCUAAAUUGGGGCCCAUUUGUGCCAAAGUCUUUAUUUAUGACUCAAUCUAUAUGUAUAUAUUAUCUCUGAACAGUUAAUUUUGUUGUGGUCCAGCACAGAAGUGUUUAAGUCGUAUGCCGUUUAAUUCUAUCGUCAUUUCUUUAAUUGCUCACAUGGCAAUUUUAUUAUAGGCCUAAAUGUGAAGCAGAGCUAUUUUCCGGCACUGCCCGUGUAGCGGAAUUCAACUCCGGCGUCUUGAAUUUGUAGGCAGCUGUUUUUAACGUCAUUUCAGGUACCAAAAUCGGAAAGUUACUUUCUGACAUUGAAUUAACAAACAUUUGAUAUAUACAUUAUGCUCUUUUUGAAUUUUCUUUGCUUUUGAGGUUGGCUCAAAGAACUUUAGCUUGAUUUUUUUAAACUAUUUAUACCUAUUCUUUUGAUAAUGUGGUUCAGUUGCUUUAAUUUGGCUACUAAUUUAUAAAUAUUAGAAGUUGUCACCGUCUUGUAUUUAUAUUGUAAUUUGUAAGCCUCUAUUGAUUUGAUUCCUUUGUAAAAUCUUGACAGUGCCGGCCUGAUUACACCUACUUAUUAUGGAAAUGGGAUUUGAAUAAUGCAAAGGCCAGAAGUAACCACUAUUAUUUGUGAUCU